GUACUGAUGAAGAGUCUCACACCAGAACGAAACAGUUGUCCAGUAU
This is a non-coding RNA of Trichobilharzia regenti, 46 nucleotides long. The record is from Rfam. NCBI's taxonomy places the organism in Eukaryota, Metazoa, Platyhelminthes, Trematoda, Strigeidida, Schistosomatidae.